UUGUAACUUUGUGGGCUCAAAAAGAGAGAGGUCCAAGUCCAAGAUUUUUCUUUUAUUUAUUUAUUUAUUUAUUUUAUUUUAUUUUUUUCAUUUUUUUUCUCAAAACGCAUGGGCUUCGCCUAGCGAGCAUGACAGUUCAAGAAAUUCCUCUGAGCGUAGGUGAUUCUGGUGGCUUUUCUUGGGACUCGCUAGGCGACCCCUUCUGCUCGCCUAGCGAGCAUGACAGCUCAUGAACAAACUUUUGCUCCUUCAAGAUUAACG
This 261-nucleotide long non-coding RNA is filed under the name Lathyrus oleraceus (garden pea). RNAcentral's name for it is "Pisum sativum (pea) long non-coding RNA (PSAT_LNC026278)". Lineage: Eukaryota; Viridiplantae; Streptophyta; Magnoliopsida; Fabales; Fabaceae. The record is from RNAcentral.